CUGUUGGAUUAGACAGGUUACUAGCAUACACAAUCUUGGGUUGUUGAAAUACAAGAACUGUUUGAUUAGACAGGUCACUAGCAUACACAGUCUUGGUUUGUUGAAAUACAAGAACUGUUUGAUUAAACAGGUUACUAGCAUACACAAUCUUGGUUUGUUAAAAUACAAGAAUUGUUUGAUUAGACAGGUUACUAGCAUACACAAUCUUGGUUGUUGAAAUACAAGAACUGUUUGAUUAGACAGGUUACUAGCAUACACAAUCUUGGUUUGUUGAAAUACAAGAACUGUUUGAUUAGACAGGUUACUAGCAUACACAAUCUUGGUUUGUUGAAAUACAAGAACUGUUUGAUUAGACAGGUUACUAGCAUACACAAUCUUGGUUUGUUGAAAUACAAGAACUGUUUGAUUAGACAGGUUACUAGCAUACACAAUCUUGGUUUGUUGAAAUACACGAACUGUUUGAUUAAACAGGUUACUAUUAUUCACAGUUUGGACUUGUUGAAAUACAAGAACUGUUUGAUUAAACAGGUUACUAGCAUACACAAUCUUGGUUUGUUGAAAUACACGAACUGUUUGAUUAAACAGGUUACUAUUAUUCACAGUUUGGACUUGUUGAAAUACAAGAACUGUUUGAUUAAACAGGUUACUAUUAUUCACAGUUUGGACUUGUUGAAAUACAAGAACUGUUUGAUAAAAUUCGAAACAUAUAUAUAUAUAUAUAUACCUACAUACUUCUAAUGUUCAACAUUUACAUAUAUUUUGGGGUUGGUAAAUAUAUUUCCAAUUAGAUGACCUCCCUUUUUUUUUCUUCACGUAUCACUUCUGAACUACUAUUUUAAUUUCUUCCCA
Limulus polyphemus (Atlantic horseshoe crab) is the source of this 849-nucleotide long non-coding RNA. RefSeq lists it as uncharacterized. The transcript is spliced from 3 exons. The record is from RefSeq and is a predicted model, not a curated record. Lineage: Eukaryota; Metazoa; Arthropoda; Merostomata; Xiphosura; Limulidae.